GAUGAAGAACGUAGCGAAAUGCGAUAAGUAAUGUGAAUUGCAGAAUUCAGUGAAUCAUCGAAUCUUUGAACGCACAUUGCGCCCCCUGGUAUUCCGGGGGGCAUGCCUGUUCGAGCGUCAUUUCACCACUCAAGCCUCGCUUGGUAUUGGGCAACGCGGUCCGCCGCGUGCCUCAAAUCGACCGGCUGGGUUUUCUGUCCCCUAAGCGUUGUGGAAACUAUUCGCUAAAGGGUGUUCGGGAGGCUACGCCGUAAAACAACCCCAUUUCUAAGGUUGACCUCGGAUCAGGUAGGGAUACCCGCUGAACUUAAGCAUAUCAAUAAGCGGAGGA
This 331-nucleotide unclassified non-coding RNA is filed under the name soil metagenome. RNAcentral's name for it is "partial contains 5.8S ribosomal RNA, internal transcribed spacer 2, and large subunit ribosomal RNA". The stretch from base 1 to 120 matches the Rfam family "5.8S ribosomal RNA", at positions 35 to 154 of the family's 154-position model. The record is from RNAcentral.